Molecule: ribosomal RNA, 253 nt
Filed under: uncultured bacterium
Lineage: Bacteria
Description: partial 16S ribosomal RNA
Rfam family: Bacterial small subunit ribosomal RNA
Source: RNAcentral
UACGGAGGGUGCAAGCGUUAAUCGGAAUUAUUGGGCGUAAAGGGCACGUAGGCGGUUUUAUAAGUCAUGUGUUAAAGACCUGGGCUUAACUUGGGUUUGUCAUGUGAAACUAUAAGACUAGAAUCUGUCAGAGGCGAGCGGAAUUUCCUGUGUAGCGGUGAAAUGCGUAGAUAUAGGAAAGAACACCAGUUGCGAAGGCGGCUCGCUGGGACAAGAUUGACGCUGAGGUGCGAAAGCGUGGGUAGCGAACAGG